UACGUAGGGGGCAAGCGUUGUCCGGAAUCAUUGGGCGUAAAGAGCGCGUAGGCGGUCCGGUAAGUCGGUUGUGAAAACUGGGGGCUCAACCCUCAGAGGCCGACCGAUACUGUCGGGCUAGAGUCCGGAAGAGGCGAGUGGAAUUCCUGGUGUAGCGGUGAAAUGCGUAGAUAUCUGGAGGAACACCGGUGGCGAAGGCGGCAUCCUGGACCAUAACUGACACUGAUAAGCGAAAGCCAGGGGAGCAAACGGG
RNAcentral lists this ribosomal RNA (253 nucleotides) under uncultured bacterium. RNAcentral describes it as "partial 16S ribosomal RNA". It matches the Rfam family "Bacterial small subunit ribosomal RNA", at positions 524 to 776 of the family's 1533-position model. The record is from RNAcentral.